UGGAGAUCAAUCCUGAGAAUGCCAUCAUGGAUGAGCUCAGGAAGAGAGCUGAUGCUGAUAAGAAUGACAAGUCCGUCAAGGAUUUGGUUCUAUUGUUGUUUGAGACUGCUCUUCUCACUUCAGGUUUUAGCCUUGAUGAGCCAAACACAUUUGGCAACAGAAUUCACAGGAUGCUGAAGCUUGGUCUGAGUAUCGAUGAGGAUGGUGGAGAUGCUGAAGCUGACAUGCCAGCAUUGGAGGAUCCUGAAGCUGAUGCCGAGGGCAGCAAGAUGGAAGAAGUCGACUAAAUCUAUAGGAUGCCGGUGUUUUGUUUUGAUUAUUAUGAAGCCCUUAACCCCAGUAGUUUUUGUUUCUUCUACUCAGCUCCACCAUCUGGACAUGAUAUGUUUUGUUUUUACUGCAUUCUAAGAGUAGUAUUCAUUGGCUCAUUUUGUUACAACGUUUUAUGUGACAAUAGAAUCUGUACUUUGCCUAAUUGCUUAUUGCGUUCUUGUAUGGAAGUCUGCCUAGUUAACUUGCAGUAUAUGCCUUAGGAUUGAUUGGUCGUGA
RNAcentral lists this unclassified non-coding RNA (549 nucleotides) under Hevea brasiliensis (rubber tree). The record is from RNAcentral. Lineage: Eukaryota; Viridiplantae; Streptophyta; Magnoliopsida; Malpighiales; Euphorbiaceae.